Trachymyrmex cornetzi is the source of this 85-nucleotide long non-coding RNA. RefSeq lists it as uncharacterized. The record is from RefSeq and is a predicted model, not a curated record. The transcript has 3 exons. NCBI's taxonomy places the organism in Eukaryota, Metazoa, Arthropoda, Insecta, Hymenoptera, Formicidae.
UGUACUGUUGAUGUAUAUUUGUUUACAACUUCUUGAGCAUAUAUAUCCACACCCAUUGCCGUUUCUCAGAUAAUAUCAAAAGCAG